This 238-nucleotide long non-coding RNA is filed under the name Theobroma cacao (cacao). RNAcentral's name for it is "long non-coding RNA (TCAC_LNC005029)". The record is from RNAcentral. Lineage: Eukaryota; Viridiplantae; Streptophyta; Magnoliopsida; Malvales; Malvaceae.
UAUGAACAGUUUUGGAUUGGUCUCGGUAGACUGGAUUAAAUUUUAUUCGCCAUAUUAUGCUACUGAAAAUUUUAUGGGUCUGGUGGUAUAUUAAACGGUCACUGCAGUGGUGGGGGUUUCCGUGGACUGCUUAUGAGAGGGGCACGGUAACCCAAUUAUAUAUUUACCUCCGGGGGGAGAUGUUGGAUGAAGUAUCUCCUGAGGUAAGAUUUGAAUGCACCUCACGGUCAUUGCAGUG